UUAUCCUCGCACACCACCUCCCAAGCCGCGGGCGCGAAAGGGUCGCACUGGAGCCCCGCGCGGGCUGCCACCGGUGUGGGGCUCCAGCGCGACUCUCUCGUACCCGCGGCUUCUCCACCUGCCCCUCCCGCCACCGCCGCCACCGCUAUAGCCGUCAUCGCCUCCGAUCCGGCUUGGCCCAACCAGCCUCCUCCGCCGCCCGUGUUGCCGGCCUCACUGCCCUGUGCCCGCCACCUUCCUUUGGACUGACCUACCACCCCGGGCUUCCUCUAAGAUCGGCAAUGGAGAAGCUCACCACAGCCCUAACCCCAACCCCCAACUCUAAACCAUAAAUCUCACCGGAGAUGGAGAACAAGGCAAGGCAAGAGGAGGAGAAAUGAAAUUAGGGUGUGGGAGCUCUCCAAAAUGCCAGAGUAUGAGACAACAUGUCGGAGUCUCGCAAGCGCCGCCCACAUGGGUGACCUUCGGAUUCCUAAAGUACUUGUCAUGGCAGAGCCCCCAGCACUUCGUGUCAUCGCAGGUGCCCUUGCUGGCGAUGAAGUUUCUGCCACAGUAUGGUGUAGCGCUUGCAUCCAUUGGGUACUCAGCCUCUGCCGCAUCUGCACAGAGUGAUAGAAAAAAUUGCUGAGGUCAGUAUGCAGAAGUGAUCGAGCGCAUACAAAUUGUGAGCAAUGCUGCGCCAAGAAAUUGACGAACGAACUUGAGCAGAGUGUGAGGAGGAGAAUGCAGAGAGCAAAAGAUGCCGCUCUGCUGGUUGCCAUAGUGUUGCUUCCUGAGAUUUAUUCCCUAGUGCUAGCUUGUGGUUUAUUUGGUGCGAGUUUGGUCGGACAUGGGGUUAUUUUGGGGGUAUAAAUAGGAUCUAGUUGGAGGGUCUGGAAUUAAUGGAUUUGCAUGCCUAAUCUGGAGCUCACAAUUAAGAAUUCCUUAAAAUUUGUGGGGUAUGUAUCAAAGGAGAAGUAGUGACGGCUUAUCUCAAGAUAUUACCCCGAUCUCGUGUGCUUAGAUUGGUAGUAGUUUAUUAGAAUUCACUAAAAUUUACGUUGUAUUAGGGGUUAUUAUUUGUAAAGGAAAAUAAAGUAACGCUCCCUACUCUUAAGAAACUAAUUAGCUCAUGCAUAUCUCCUGUAGUUGGUAGCUUAUUAAGACUAACUCUGUCUAGACUGAUGUAUAUUUGCAUUCUU
Molecule: long non-coding RNA, 1181 nt
Organism: Panicum virgatum (switchgrass)
Lineage: Eukaryota; Viridiplantae; Streptophyta; Magnoliopsida; Poales; Poaceae
Exons: 2
Source: RefSeq, a predicted model, not a curated record